GACGAACCGUGCGAACGUUGUUCGGAAUCACUGGGCUUAAAGGGAGCGUAGGCGGUUGGGAUAGUCCGUGGUGAAAUCCUCCGGCUCAACCGGAGAACGGCCUCGGAUACUACCCAUCUCGAGUAAGGUAGGGGCACGCGGAACGGAUGGUGGAGCGGUGAAAUGCGUUGAUAUCAUUCGGAACUCCGGUGGCGAAGGCGGCGUGCUGGACCUUAACUGACGCUGAGGCUCGAAAGCCAGGGGAGCAAACGGG
This 253-nucleotide ribosomal RNA is filed under the name uncultured bacterium. Its description in RNAcentral is "partial 16S ribosomal RNA". It matches the Rfam family "Bacterial small subunit ribosomal RNA", at positions 524 to 776 of the family's 1533-position model. The record is from RNAcentral.